UACAGAGGGUGCAAGCAUUGUUCGGAAUUAUUGGGCGUAAAGAGCUCGUAGGCGGUCUGUCGCGUCGGCUGUGAAAACCCGGGGCUCAACCCCGGGCCUGCAGUCGAUACGGGCAGACUAGAGUGCGGUAGGGGAGACUGGAAUUCCUGGUGUAGCGGUGAAAUGCGCAGAUAUCAGGAGGAACACCGGUGGCGAAGGCGGGUCUCUGGGCAGUAACUGACGCUGAGGAGCGAAAGCGUGGGGAGCGAACAGG
This 253-nucleotide ribosomal RNA is filed under the name uncultured bacterium. RNAcentral describes it as "partial 16S ribosomal RNA". It matches the Rfam family "Bacterial small subunit ribosomal RNA", at positions 524 to 776 of the family's 1533-position model. The record is from RNAcentral.